Molecule: ribosomal RNA, 484 nt
Filed under: uncultured bacterium
Lineage: Bacteria
Description: partial 16S ribosomal RNA
Rfam family: Bacterial small subunit ribosomal RNA
Source: RNAcentral
AUUGAACGCUGGCGGCAGGCCUAACACAUGCAAGUCGAGCGGAUGAAGGGAGCUUGCUCCUGGAUUCAGCGGCGGACGGGUGAGUAAUGCCUAGGAAUCUGCCUGGUAGUGGGGGAUAACGUCCGGAAACGGGCGCUAAUACCUCAUACGUCCUGAGGGAGAAAGUGGGGGAUCUUCGGACCUCACGCUAUCAGAUGAGCCUAGGUCGGAUUAGCUAGUUGGUGGGGUAAAGGCCUACCAAGGCGACGAUCCGUAACUGGUCUGAGAGGAUGAUCAGUCACACUGGAACUGAGACACGGUCCAGACUCCUACGGGAGGCAGCAGUGGGGAAUAUUGGACAAUGGGCGAAAGCCUGCUCCAGCCAUGCCGCGUGUGUGAAGAAGGUCUUCGGAUUGUAAAGCACUUUAAGUUGGGAGGAAGGGCAGUAAGUUAAUACCUUGCUGUUUUGACGUUACCAACAGAAUAAGCACCGGCUAACUUCGUG